UACGGGAGGCAGCAGUGGGGAAUCUUGCGCAAUGGGCGAAAGCCUGACGCAGCCAUGCCGCGUGAAUGAUGAAGGUCUUAGGAUUGUAAAAUUCUUUCACCGGGGACGAUAAUGACGGUACCCGGAGAAGAAGCCCCGGCUAACUUCGUGCCAGCAGCCGCGGUAAUACGAAGGGGCUAGCGUUGCUCGGAAUUACUGGGCGUAAAGGGAGCGUAGGCGGACAUUUAAGUCAGGGGUGAAAUCCCGGGGCUCAACCUCGGAAUUGCUUUUUGAUACUGGGUGUCUUGAGUAUGAGAGAGGUGUGUGGAACUCCGAGUGUAGAGGUGAAAUUCGUAGAUAUUCGGAAGAACACCAGUGGCGAAGGCGACACACUGGCUCAUUACUGACGCUGAGGCUCGAAAGCGUGGGGAGCAAACAGGGAUUAGAUACC
RNAcentral lists this ribosomal RNA (430 nucleotides) under uncultured bacterium. RNAcentral's name for it is "bacterial SSU rRNA". It matches the Rfam family "Bacterial small subunit ribosomal RNA", at positions 340 to 786 of the family's 1533-position model. The record is from RNAcentral.